UACGUAGGUGGCAAGCGUUGUCCGGAUUUACUGGGCGUAAAGAGCGCGCAGGCGGUCGUUCAAGUCGCGUGUGAAAGCCCCCGGCUCAACUGGGGAGGGUCACGCGAUACUGAUCGACUCGAAGGCAGGAGAGGGUAGUGGAAUUCCCGGUGUAGUGGUGAAAUGCGUAGAUAUCGGGAGGAACACCAGUGGCUAAGGCGACUACCUGGCCUGUUCUUGACGCUGAGGCGCGAAAGCUAGGGGAGCAAACGGG
RNAcentral lists this ribosomal RNA (253 nucleotides) under uncultured bacterium. Its description in RNAcentral is "partial 16S ribosomal RNA". It matches the Rfam family "Bacterial small subunit ribosomal RNA", at positions 524 to 776 of the family's 1533-position model. The record is from RNAcentral.